AGUAACACGUGGGUAACCUACCUAUAAGACUGGGAUAACUUCGGGAAACCGGAGCUAAUACCGGAUAAUAUUUCGAACCGCAUGGUUCGAUAGUGAAAGAUGGCUUUGCUAUCACUUAUAGAUGGACCUGCGCAGUAUUAGCUAGUUGGUAAGGUAACGGCUUACCAAGGCAACGAUACGUAGCCGACCUGAGAGGGUGAUCGGCCACACUGGAACUGAGACACGGUCCAGACUCCUACGCGAGGCAGCAGUAGGGAAUCUUCCGCAAUGGGCGAAAGCCUGACGGAGCAACGCCGCGUGAGUGAUGAAGGUCUUCGGAUCGUAAAACUCUGUUAUUAGGGAAGAACAAACGUGUAAGUAACUGUGCACGUCUUGACGGUACCUAAUCAGAAAGCCACGGCUAA
This 404-nucleotide ribosomal RNA is filed under the name Staphylococcus hominis. RNAcentral's name for it is "bacterial SSU rRNA". It matches the Rfam family "Bacterial small subunit ribosomal RNA", at positions 109 to 500 of the family's 1533-position model. Lineage: Bacteria; Bacillati; Bacillota; Bacilli; Caryophanales; Staphylococcaceae. The record is from RNAcentral.